AUCAAUGGAGCACGAAGAGAAGCUGGAGAGGGACGAGGGAGGGAAGCGCGGCAGGAGGAGCAAGAGGAGGCAUGAAGAAUCCGAUUCGAGGAGCAGGAGCAGCGAUAGCGGUAGUAGCGAGAGUGAAAAUCGCAGGAGCAAGCGUAGGAAGCGGCAUCAUCGACGAAGAACUAGAGGAUCAUCUGAUAGUAGCUCGUCCGGGGAGGAGAGCGAUGGUAGCGACGAUGUGAGUAAGCGCUCACGCAGCCGAGUAAGGCACAAGGAGGAGCGAAGGCACAAGAGCAGGGAUAAAGAGAAGAAACGCAAGGAUAGGGGGAAGGGGAAGCGAAAGGAGGAGAAGAAGAAGAAGAAAAAGGAGAAGGCCGAGCGCCAGAAGAGUGGGCCUGUGACUGCUUCAUGGGGGAAGUAUGGACUUAUCAAGGAGAUCGAUAUGUGGAACAAGAGGCCGGAAUUUAGCGCAUGGCUUUCGGAAGUGAAGAAAGUCAAUCUGGAGACGCUACCGAAUUGGGAGGAGAGACAAAUGUUUAAGGAGUACAUGGAAGAUUAUAACACUGCAACACUUCCCUCGAAGAAGUACUACAAUGUUGAUAAGUAUCACCAGCGAAAGAUGUUCAAGGAGUGGAAGAAGGGCGCCAAAUACAGAUCUGUCGAAGUGGAGCGGACAGAAUUCAACGAUGAAGAGCAACGAAGGCAAGAACUAAAAAUGCUGCGGGAGCAUGAGAAAGAGGCACACAUUGAAGAACUAAAGCACUCGAUGAAAACUGGCAUGGCACAAGCGAUGCGUGAGCAAGCCCAACUUCGUGAGGAAAUGCAGUACCAAUAUCGUCUCGGGAAUCUCGAAGCAGCGAAUGCGAUCCAGAAGCGCCUGGAGCCUGACGCUUUGUAGUACCAUAUAGAGAGAAAAAACUAUCAAAUCGAACACAGCCAGAGUUGCAUUUUGCUGUUGUACUCCAUGGAGACAGUACCGAUCGUCAUGAGAGUGUGAAGAAGUGGAGGAGAGCGUUAUGCACCCCAGCUCUACAGCCGAGCCAAAAAAUGUUGAGAGACGAGGUCAGAACAAAAGAAAGCUGGAUCUGUCCAGCACUGCUUUUGAAGCAAUCAGCCCUUUUUAGCCUUUUGGCCUGCAUCAGUUAACGUUUUCUUCCUUUA
RNA transcript from Selaginella moellendorffii, 1149 nucleotides. It is a transcript of the gene named protein FAM133B-like, with no coding region annotated. The transcript has 10 exons. The record is from RefSeq and is a predicted model, not a curated record. Lineage: Eukaryota; Viridiplantae; Streptophyta; Lycopodiopsida; Selaginellales; Selaginellaceae.